This is a long non-coding RNA of Humulus lupulus (European hop), 666 nucleotides long. RefSeq lists it as uncharacterized. The transcript has 3 exons. Lineage: Eukaryota; Viridiplantae; Streptophyta; Magnoliopsida; Rosales; Cannabaceae. The record is from RefSeq and is a predicted model, not a curated record.
AUACCGCGUAUACCCUUACCUUCUUCAACCUUACGGAAGCCCUAAUUUCACCCUUUUAUCUCCUAUCCUCUCACACAAUAUAUGUACACGAGUCUCCCUCUGCGUUGUAAGUCUCAGAAUCUAUACUCACGGUGGUUGAUUGACUCUCUUUUCCAGCGCCGACGAUAGAUUCUCCUCAAGCUCGAUGUCCUUCUCUGCUCUUCAUUGUCGAUGACAUCUCUGUUUUCUUUCAAUGGUUUUCACCACGUCAAAUGGCAUCUGUGAUCCGGUAUCCUGGAAAUCAAAAUGCAGAGAGAUUAAAGAGCCACUAUAUUAAGCUCUGUUUUGCUCCGAUUGCAAAGGAAUUUACAUUCUCGUCAACAAUGAACUUGGGGAUGACGAAGAUUUCACGAACGAGGACAGAUUGUUGCAUAGCUUGAAGGAGUGUUUGUUGGAAUAUGACAACAACAAGGCUUGAGACUAAUCUAGAACAUUCACAGAUGCAACACGAAUUACCUUGGUUCAACCCCAAUAUGGAACCAUCAUCCAGCUAGAGCUCGUCCACAAACGAGUUCUUGAAUCCACUAUGAACAGUAACAAUACAAACCCAGUCAAGACAAUUUGUUCUUGACAACUCUCACAAAUCUCUCAAAUACUAUGUGAACAAUCACUCUUUUGAAAAGACAA